RNAcentral lists this ribosomal RNA (462 nucleotides) under Triticum aestivum (bread wheat). Its description in RNAcentral is "partial small subunit ribosomal RNA". Lineage: Eukaryota; Viridiplantae; Streptophyta; Magnoliopsida; Poales; Poaceae. The record is from RNAcentral.
AUGUUUCAGUAUGCAGUCAAGCAGGCAACAAGGGAUCUGUGGGACGAGGCCAAGGUGUACGUGCGCAACCUUCCCUACGACGUUAGCAGCGAGCGCCUCGUGCAGCUCUUCGAGCAGGACGGCGUCAUCGAGGUCACCGUGUCGAUAUGUGGUAUCGGUGACAGAAGGUGCAUCACACGCUUGGGUAUUUUCUUCCGCACGAGUUUUGAGAAUGCCAAAGUGGUCACUGCGGUGGAUUGUAUUAUGUCACUGGUAUGUGAUAAGAAUUGGGAACAUUAUUCUUUUGCCACCCAGGAUUCGGAGCUCCGUGAAAAGCUAUGGGAGGUUCCUGGUGUUCCUGUGAUAUAUGGUCUGAAGAACUCCUUGUUCAUUGAGCAACCAUUCGUUCAGCAAAGUCAGUUUGCUCAGUUGGAUGAGAAGUGCAACUUAUUGAAAAAUCCGAAUUUAAGAAGCUACCCAUGA